UACGUAGGGUGCGAGCGUUGUCCGGAAUUAUUGGGCGUAAAGGGCUCGUAGGCGGUUUGUCACGUCGGGAGUGAAAACUCGGGGCUCAACCCCGAGCCUGCUUCCGAUACGGGCAGACUAGAGGUAUGCAGGGGAGAACGGAAUUCCUGGUGUAGCGGUGAAAUGCGUAGAUAUCGGGAGGAACACCUGUGGCGAAAGCGGCUCACUGGACCAUUACUGACGCUGAUGCUCGAAAGCUAGGGGAGCAAACAGG
This 253-nucleotide ribosomal RNA is filed under the name uncultured prokaryote. Its description in RNAcentral is "partial 16S ribosomal RNA". It matches the Rfam family "Bacterial small subunit ribosomal RNA", at positions 524 to 776 of the family's 1533-position model. The record is from RNAcentral.